GUAUUUCAAUCACUAUUUCCUUUGGUAAUGAAAUGAACUUUCCGUGACUGAUUUAACUCAAAAUAUGGUGAAACUGUUUGAAAACUUACUUAGAUAGUUACAGUUAAAAUAAUAAAGUUUCUAUUAAACAAAUUAAAAAAUUUCCAGCAUAUCUCUGAAGAGCAGUUUAAAGUUUGUUUUUCUGUCAUUCAAUCUUACCUGCUAUUGUCCAAUUUUUUUCCCCAUGAAUAUGUAUUCAAAAUAAAACAUUUUUGCCAACUAUA
This 263-nucleotide long non-coding RNA is filed under the name Bos taurus (domestic cattle). RNAcentral describes it as "long non-coding RNA NONBTAT007167". The record is from RNAcentral. Lineage: Eukaryota; Metazoa; Chordata; Mammalia; Artiodactyla; Bovidae.